This 253-nucleotide ribosomal RNA is filed under the name uncultured bacterium. RNAcentral's name for it is "partial 16S ribosomal RNA". It matches the Rfam family "Bacterial small subunit ribosomal RNA", at positions 524 to 776 of the family's 1533-position model. The record is from RNAcentral.
UACGAAGGGGGCUAGCGUUGUUCGGAAUUACUGGGCGUAAAGCGCGCGCAGGCGGUUCUUCAAGUCAGAGGUGAAAGCCCAGAGCUCAACUCUGGAAUGGCCUUUGAGACUAGAGAACUUGGGUACGGGAGAGGUGAGUGGAAUUCCGAGUGUAGAGGUGAAAUUCGUAGAUAUUCGCAAGAACACCAGUGGCGAAGGCGGCUCACUGGCUCGAUACUGACGCUGAGGUGCGAAAGCGUGGGGAGCAAACAGG